CCAUGCAUGUCUAAGUAUAAGCAAUUAUACGGCGAAACUGCGAAUGGCUCAUUAUAUAAGUUAUCGUUUAUUUGAUAAUACUUUACUACUUGGAUAACCGUGGUAAUUCUAGAGCUAAUACAUGCUAAAAAUCCCGACUUCGGAAGGGUUGUAUUUAUUAGAUUAAAAACCAAUGCCCUCUGGGCUCUCUGGUGAAUCAUAAUAACUUGUCGAAUCGCAAGGCCUUGUGCCGGCGAUGGCUCAUUCAAAUUUCUUCCCUAUCAACUUUCGAUGUUUGGGUAUUGGCCAAACAUGGUGGCAACGGGUAACGGAGGGUUAGGGCUCGACCCCGGAGAAGGAGCCUGAGAAACGGCUACUACAUCCAAGGAAGGCAGCAGGCGCGCAAAUUACCCAAUCCCGACACGGGGAGGUAGUGACAAUAAAUACUGAUACAGGGCUCUUAUGGGUCUUGUAAUCGGAAUGAGUACAAUUUAAAUCCCUUAACGAGGAACAAUUGGAGGGCAAGUCUGGUGCCAGCAGCCGCGGUAAUUCCAGCUCCAAUAGCGUAUAUUAAAGUUGUUGUGGUUAAAAAGCUCGUAGUUGAACCUUGGGCCUGGCUGGCCGGUCCGCCUCACCGCGUGCACUGGUCCGGCCGGGCCUUUCCCUCUGUGGAACCUCAUGCCCUUCACUGGGUGUGACGGGGAAACAGGACUUUUACUUUGAAAAAAUUAGAGUGCUCCAGGCAGGCCUAUGCUCGAAUACAUUAGCAUGGAAUAAUAAAAUAGGACGUGUGGUUCUAUUUUGUUGGUUUCUAGGACCGCCGUAAUGAUUAAUAGGGACAGUCGGGGGCAUCAGUAUUCAAUUGUCAGAGGUGAAAUUCUUGGAUUUAUUGAAGACUAACUACUGCGAAAGCAUUUGCCAAGGAUGUUUUCAUUAAUCAGGAACGAAAGUUAGGGGAUCGAAGACGAUCAGAUACCGUCGUAGUCUUAACCAUAAACUAUGCCGACUAGGGAUCGGACGAUGUUAUAUUCUUGACGCGUUCGGCACCUUACGAGAAAUCAAAGUGCUUGGGCUCCAGGGGGAGUAUGGUCGCAAGGCUGAAACUUAAAGAAAUGACGGAA
This 1100-nucleotide ribosomal RNA is filed under the name Hypocreales sp. FY-2022b. RNAcentral describes it as "SSU rRNA". It matches the Rfam family "Eukaryotic small subunit ribosomal RNA", at positions 49 to 1161 of the family's 1831-position model. The record is from RNAcentral. Lineage: Eukaryota; Fungi; Ascomycota; Sordariomycetes; Hypocreales.